RNAcentral lists this ribosomal RNA (447 nucleotides) under uncultured bacterium. Its description in RNAcentral is "bacterial SSU rRNA". It matches the Rfam family "Bacterial small subunit ribosomal RNA", at positions 100 to 565 of the family's 1533-position model. The record is from RNAcentral.
GGACGGGUGAGUAACGCGUGGGUAACCUGCCCCUCAGCCCGGGAUAACCGUCGGAAACGAUGGCUAAUACCGGAUGCUGUAUACAUAUCGCAUGAUGUGUAUACCAAAGUUCAGGCGCUGAGGGAUGGGCCCGCGUCCCAUUAGCUAGUUGGUGAGGUAACGGCUCACCCAGGCCACCAUGGGUAGCCGGCCUGAGAGGGUGACCGGCCACACUGGGACUGAUACACGGCCCACACUCCUACGGGAGGCAGCAGUCGGGGAUCUUCCACAAUGGGCGAAAGCCUGAUGGAGCGACGCCGCGUGAGGGAUGAAGGUCUUCAGAUCGUACACCUCUGUCUUCCGGGACGACGAUGACGGUACCGGAGGAGGAAGCCACGGCUAACUACGUGCCACCAGCCGCGGCAAUACGUAGGUGGCGAGCGUUGUCCGGAAUUACUGGGCGUAAAG